This 253-nucleotide ribosomal RNA is filed under the name uncultured bacterium. RNAcentral describes it as "partial 16S ribosomal RNA". It matches the Rfam family "Bacterial small subunit ribosomal RNA", at positions 524 to 776 of the family's 1533-position model. The record is from RNAcentral.
UACGGGGGUGGCAAGCGUUGUUCGGAAUUACUGGGCGUAAAGGGCUCGUAGGCGGCCAACUAAGUCAGACGUGAAAUCCCCAGGCUCAACCUGGGAACUGCGUCUGAUACUGGAUGGCUUGAAUCCGGGAGAGGGAUGCAGAAUUCCAGGUGUAGCGGUGAAAUUCGUAGAUAUUGGGAAGAACACCGGUGGCGAAGGCGGCGCUCUGGACCGAGACUGACGCUGAGGCGCGAAAGCGUGGGGAGCAAACAGG